UACCAGCACCCCGAGUGGUCGGGGCGUUUAUUGGGCCUAAAGCAUCCGUAGCCGGUUCUACAAGUCUUCCGUUAAAUCCAACUGCUUAACAGGUGGGCUGCGGAAGAUACUAUAGAGCUAGGAGGCGGGAGAGGCAAGCGGUACUCGAUGGGUAGGGGUAAAAUCCGUUGAUCCAUUGAAGACCACCGGUGGCGAAGGCGGUGGUCUGGGCCGGCACUGACGCUGAGGAGCGAAAGCGUGGGUAGCAAACAGG
RNAcentral lists this ribosomal RNA (253 nucleotides) under uncultured bacterium. Its description in RNAcentral is "partial 16S ribosomal RNA". It matches the Rfam family "Archaeal small subunit ribosomal RNA", at positions 474 to 727 of the family's 1478-position model. The record is from RNAcentral.